CAUGCAAGUCGAACGAAGCAAUUAAGAUGAAGUUUUCGGAUGGAAUCUUGAUUGACUGAGUGGCGGACGGGUGAGUAACGCGUGGAUAACCUGCCUCACACUGGGGGAUAACAGUUAGAAAUGACUGCUAAUACCGCAUAAGCGCACAGUGCCGCAUGGCAGUGUGUGAAAAACUCCGGUGGUGUGAGAUGGAUCCGCGUCUGAUUAGCCAGUUGGCGGGGUAACGGCCCACCAAAGCGACGAUCAGUAGCCGACCUGAGAGGGUGACCGGCCACAUUGGGACUGAGACACGGCCCAAACUCCUACGGGAGGCAGCAGUGGGGAAUAUUGCACAAUGGGCGAAAGCCUGAUGCAGCGACGCCGCGUGAGUGAAGAAGUAUUUCGGUAUGUAAAGCUCUAUCAGCAGGGAAGAAAAUGACGGUACCUGACUAAGAAGCCCCGGCUAACUACGUGCCGGCAGCCGCGGUAAUACGUAGGGGGCAAGCGUUAUCCGGAUUUACUGGGUGUAAAGGGAGCGUAGACGGCGAAGCAAGUCUGAAGUGAAAACCCAGGGCUCAACCCUGGGACUGCUUUGGAAACUGUUUUGCUAGAGUGUCGGAGAGGUAAGUGGAAUUCCUAGUGUAGCGGUGAAAUGCGUAGAUAUUAGGAGGAACACCAGCGGCG
Molecule: ribosomal RNA, 663 nt
Filed under: uncultured Lachnospiraceae bacterium
Lineage: Bacteria; Bacillati; Bacillota; Clostridia; Lachnospirales; Lachnospiraceae
Description: bacterial SSU rRNA
Rfam family: Bacterial small subunit ribosomal RNA
Source: RNAcentral